AAAAUUAAAAAAAAAAAGUAAUUAAAUCAAUCGCAGAAGAAUUCAUCGCAAGAAGAAGAGAAUUGAAUGAAAACCAAAGGGGUUGGGAUUCAAACUGUAAAUUUGUUCAUUUACAGUCUUGCUUCGCCCUUUCUUCGAAACGUCUUUAAUGUAAUUACAGAAGUAGGAAGUAAGAUGAAUGCAAAUCCACGACGUGGCUGGCUCGGUAAUCUCGUCGAAUCUAUUUUUUUUUUUUUCUUUUUCGCAAGAAAAGGAUUUGCACUGGGGAAAAUUAGUCUGCCACUCUUCUGUGAUUUAAUGUUAGAAACUCGUUCGAGGGAGAAGAGAAUCGCGUUUGCUUAAUUACUCGGUCGGUAUCGCUUUCUUCGAUCGAGGCCAGUCAGUCAGUCAGUCAGUCAGUCGAUCUCACAACUAUCGUAUCAUAAAAAUAUCCGAGAACAGGCGUCAAAGUUCUUCCAACUUUGUUCCGCGAUUUUUUCCUUCGAUUCAUUCUCCAACGGCUUAUUCGAUUUUUCCAGAACGAUUUAUGGGAAAGAGAAGUUUAUUCAACGGGUUGAAAAGUUCGAGUAAAUUCUUAUUUACGAAGGGAAAAGUUUGAGGAAAUCAUCGCCUGGUUGGAAUAGCCAGUGGUAUCGGGGGAUAUAUGGCCAGGCAUAUUGUUAUCGGCGAUAUAUACGAUUGGAAUGGUUGAAAAUGAAGAUGGUUUUUUCGUGAAUAUGAAAUGAUUGAAAAAUAGAUGAAUAGUUUGAAUUAGUACACACUUUGUCGUUAAUUACAAAUUUAUCGACAGAAUAAAGAUCGAUCGGUAAGUACAAAUAUCGUCAAUCGGUAAGUUUAAAUUAAAUUUCAAGUAACAAUAAUUCGAUAUCGAUGAAAAUAUUUACGAAUAAUUUCAAAGUAUUGUCAAUAAAUAUUUAUUCUGAAAUAAUUAAUAUUAAUAAAAGUUUGAAUCAACGUGGCCUGGUAUAUCUCCUUAAUUAAUAAUUAAUAAUAAACUAUCAGACACGUAUGAGUGGAAUUAUUCAUCGAUGCUGUAAAUUCAAGCUAUACAGUCUAUAUAUAUCAAUUCAUGCGUAUGAACACGUAUGCAAUAUUGAAACUUAAACAUGCCUUUUAAUUUAACCGCUUUUGGGUACUUUUAGCACAAUCGAAAAAAAAAAAAAAUACUCUUGGAAUAUAAUAGUUCAUUCAAUAAUUCAAAAUUAUUCUUUUCGAGACAAUAAUUGUCACAAAUUGUUCAUCAAAAUAGAUUUAAAGAAAUGUAUAAGAAUUCUUCAAAGUCUGUUUACAUGAAAAUUGUUGUUAUGCGCCAUACCCGCCUCUGGUUAUAAUUUUACUGUUUGGUUUAUAAACCGCAAUUAAAGGGUUUUAAUUAUUCCAAUGGUCAGCAGUCAGUUCAAUUUCAGACGAAAUACAACAAUUAAGAUAAAACGUUGCAAACGUUCUCAUUAAACUUUACAACAAUCAACGUAUAACCAAAUUGAAAGCGAACAAAAACAAGCGGACGAGAAUACUAAUACGUCUCCUUUUUUCUCGUCGGCAGUAGUAUAGACCAUUAUAUAACGCGCCAAAUGGGAUCUUUUAAAAACUUCUCUUCUCCGUUCUACGUGCAAUUAUUCUCAGCGUUAUUUAUCGCGCUAUCCGUUCAUCGAAAUCCAUUUAUUGAAAGUAUAAAUAUUUGUAUUCAAUUAGCUUGAAAAUUUAAAAAAAAAAAAAAAAAAAAAAUUCUAGACGCGAAAAUCACACUCGAGAGAGAAAAUUGGAGGAGGAUGAAGGAGUUUUUAUGGAUUUGGGUAGCCAUCUUGGGAACGAUCUCGAGGAGGAAAAAUCGUGAGGGAGAAUUAACGCAAUCGUGGGCGUGGAGAUCCGUUGGUGGAAAAUUAAGAAGAGUGUCCUUCGGGGGCGGGGCGGGGCAAGAAUACAGGAGAAAUCAUUAGCCGAAGGGGAGCUUUCCACGCAGAGCUGCUUCCACUGUUCUUGGAGCACCCGUUAACAACUCCCCUUUCACUUCGCCCCUUCCAACUCCAUUUUCUUCCGGUUCUUCUCGCCCUCACCAUCCUAUUACACUUUUAUCUCGGCCCGUUAAUGGAGCAUCGAACGUGCACCGAGUAAUUUCCCAAAUAUCCCUAGCAAUAUAUGAUAUUGGCUUGUUCGAAAGUAACUUCAUUUUUUUCACACCAAGUGUCGCUAGUUUAUCCAGCCAACUUCAUUCUGAACCGAGAGGUGAACGUGAAUGUGGCGUGUCUUUGAUGGAUCGAGGUAUCGUGAUCGAAGGUAUCAAUUGCAAAGCAAACUGGAAAUUGGAGAAUUGACUUUUUAAGUGUUCGAUAAGAAUUCGAUAGCUCGAACAGUUCAAAGUUUAAAUUUAGAGAUUUAUCAUACAUGGCUCGGAUGAUCUUUUGUUGUUGUUAAAUUGAACUUGAGAAAUCAAUUGUGAAUUAAUAUCUGAACGUCCAAUGCUAGAACGGAAAUUAGUUCUCAGUUUCAAAAAUUCCAACUCUUGAUCAAAAUCAUACUCAACAUCAUUCUGAUCUACGAUCGUUUGUGCUUUGAAUUUGGAUCGCAGGCUAUUCGUUGUUCGGAAAGUAAUUCUGUUUCUUCAUACCAGUGUCGCUAGUCGAACAUUUAUGCAGCCAACUUCAUUCUAAACAGUGCUGCCAUUAUAUAUUUUGGCAUUUCAUGGUUCAUUUGUAAGAAAAAUUCGUUCGAUUGUGUGUUUUUCGCGGGUGAUGACAAAUAUGCGAGAUCGAAAGGUGUAUUUUCGGCAUAUUUUACUUUUUUGUUAUGGAAAAGGUAAAAAUGCUGUUCAGGCAAGAAAAAAGUUACGUCAAGUCUAUGAACCGUGCGCCAGUGUGAAAAGUGCUUUUUAAAAUUUCGUUCCGACAAUUUCGACGUUAAAGCUUGUCACGUUUUUGGAAGACCAAUAAAAUUUCGAAGCCGACGAAUAACGACUCGAGAAAUCGCCAUAAGAUCGAACUCCUCGAAUUCGAUCGUUCGUGAUCGCGUGAAACGACUCGGUGUUUCAUUAUCGUGAAAAUUAUCCCGUAAUUUAACGUUAUUCAACCAUAUUUGAUUCUAUCGAGUAUAAUGAGAAUAAAUUUAUAAUCCCAAUUAAAAAAUUAUGCAUAUCGCAUGGCGCUAAAAAGUUCAUCAAACUGUAAACGAAAAGAUAAAAUUCAAUCUUUUAAUAAUUAUUAUUAAAUCAUAACGAAUUGUUAUUAACAGUGAUAAUAAAGAAGGAGAUGAAUUAUAAUUUUAAAAUUCGUAUCUCUUGUGAGAUCUAGAAGAAGAAAGCUUCGAGAAAAAGAAAAUAAUUAUACGCGAGAAUAAUUAAUUUAAUGCUUCUCAUAAAGCAGGGAGGAGGGGGAAUCAACUAUCCUCGUCUGUCUCACGCUCGAAGAGGCUCCGUUUCGAGGAAACGUUAUCGUUGAAAUACGAGCGAAUUGAGAAUGUUAUUUCUAAAAAUAAUAGUAGCUAUAAACAGAAAACUAAAUAACUGAAUUCUUUGUUGACUAAAUUCAAUUAUUGCGUUUACGCGGUCAAACGAAUAAAUACGCGAAAUAGAUAGAUAGAUAGAUAGAGAAAAAGGAGAAAAUUUUUUUCUUCUUAGAAUCGUAUUGGAUUUCGAAGGCAGUGAAAAUAAGAAGAGCGGACAUUCUCUCGUGCAAGCUUCAAAAUAAACACUCCUAACGGUGGUCGUUAGCCGAAUAACAAGAAACGGGCACGGGGUCGAUGGGGAGUAGUGGGGGAAAGACGGUGAAAUAUGCGAAAACCGAGACCCUUUUCUCCCUUUUCUUUCUUUCUUUCUUUCUUUUUUUUUCUUUUUCGCCCCCAUCGUAACGGAACAACCGUUUUGCCCGACACGACGAAACCGCUAAGGGAAAUUAAGAGCCGAGAGGGGAAAAAGAGAAGCGAGUCACGAGGCUGACUGACCUUCGACCAAAAAAAAAAAAAAAAAAGGAGGAAGGAAAAAACAUAGCCGUUUUUCCCUGGAAAAUAUCAGAUCCCCGCUUGAAAUGUCUGUUUCCGAAUUAAUUCUUGUCGCAAUGUUGCCAACAGUUCUGGAAUGAGUUUUGGAAGGGCGAUGAAGAAAUUUAUCCCGACACGAGAAGAAUUUUUCACAGAGUUAUUAUUAUUCAACGAAAUAUAAUUUGAAAUUUCGUUCAUUGGUCGAAUGUUGUCGAUUCUAUUUCAUGCAAGAUUGAUUUUAGGAUUGAUAUAUAUGGAAGAAAUUUUAUCGAAAGAAUCUAGAUUUUCUUCUUCUUCUUCUUUUAAGGAUCUCUUAUUUCGAGUAUCGAAUUGUUCGAAUCGAAGAGAAAUAUUCCAAUUUUUUUUUUAUGGUGAAAUUAAUACACGCUUCGUUAUAAAUAGAAAAAAGAAAAAAUUUUAACGAUUAAAUAGAGAAGUUUAAAUUUUUUUAUUUGAAAACAUCGUCUAUCAUUAUUAUAUUUUCAAGAUUUAAUUUCUCUACAUGAUGUAUGAACAAAUAUUACAUGUCUGUGUUAUUUCAAUUCUUCAAGCUUUCAGUAUCUUCUCAAUGUUGAAAAGUACUUGGAUAGAAAUUUUUAAACUCUAAAAUAAAAUACAAAAACUUUCUUAAAUAAAAUUUAUCAAAUAGUCCAUAGAUAGAAGAAGAAGGAAGUGUUAUUUCACGAAAUUUCUAUCCCAUUGAAUUUUUCAUUAUUAAUCCCCUGACAAACGUAAUAAUAGAAUAUUCCCUUCAAUAAUAACUAACCUACUUCACAAAUAUGAAGGAAUAUAAAGGAAAAUUGGAAAAAGAAAUCCUAUUCUACAUAUUCUCUGAUAGAUUCUUGGACGAUGGAUCCUUUUUGCCUUCUCUCCCCCGCCUCCAUUUUUUGAAUUUGUAACAAUUCAAUCCAUGGAAAGAUGUUUAAAGGUGUAAGUGUCAACCCUGCCGUGAAAUCGAGUCAAUUAAAAGGAGGAGGAGAAGAAGCUUUGAGGACGUAACAAUCUAUUUGUAAUCGAGCUGAACUCGUUAAAUUCAAGGUGAUCGUGGUGAAUACUAUUAUCCAAGCGUCGAUAAUCGAUUUUCUUUUCUUUCUCAGGCAAGUAGAAGUAAUAAGUUUGGAAGAUAAUAAUCAGGUAAAAAAGAUAAAAAUGAACAUUUGAUCAAAACUAUUAAUGAUGGUAUAAUAAAAUAAGAGAUUAAAACUGUCUUAAGUAUGAAUUACAUUUGAUAUUCUAACCCAGUUCUUUUUAAUCCAGCUCAGCCUGUAAUUUAGAAAUCCUAGAAAUCAGAAUUAUCAUCGUAUCUGGAAUAAUCUGAAGCUAAUUCAAACCUGGCCUUUUAGAAUUUAGAAAGUUGGAUAUCUGACAUCUUGUUCGUACAGGUUAAGUUUGAGAGAGAAAAAAAGAAAGAAAGAAAGAAAGAAACAUUGACAUUCUCGAGAAAUAGGAUUUAUCAUCCGGGAUCUCUGGCAAUCUCCAGACGGUACGUGACUUAUGAGUUAUUCAUAAGAUUCAGGGAACAUGCUCCUCGUAUCUUCCAUACCCUGGUGACAAUCUGCUGCGAACAUCGGCAACAUCUUCAAAGUCCAUGCAUCAACCUAACCGUUCCUCUGCAUCGAGAACCCUUUUCAUGAGUUUUCUUUUUCUUUUCAAGGUUGACCAAUCAUCGGCACAAUGUGACGAGCAUGGAAGAAUAAGAAGUGAAUCGUUGAAAGCUCUUCUCUGAGGAGCAUCAAAGAUAGAGUGCAGAGUUGCUCCUAACUUUUGCAGGAAAAUUUAAGGGAAGAUUUUUAUCUCGUUAAGUAAUAAUCCUUAUUUGAGACUCAGUUCAUGGCAUUGAAGAAUAUUAAAACGUAUCAAAGGUAAAGUUAAUCAUGGAUAACCAGGGAUAAGAGGAAUUGUCAGGAAGAAAAUGAAGAAGAGAUGUAUUGUUUUUGUUUUCUUGUAUAUAUAAUUAUCUAUUUUUGUUAAAAGAGAGGAACCUGUCUGUUUUCUGAAGAUAUCUCUUAGAAAAAAUAUUUUAUUAAGUAAUAAUCCUUAUUUGAGACUCAUCUUAUGGCAUUGAAGAAUAUUAAAACGUAUCAAAGGUAAAGUUAAUCAUGGAUAACCAGGGAUAAGAGGAAUUGUCAGGAAGAAAAUGAAGAAGAGAUGUAUUGUUUUUGUUUUCUUGUAUAUAUAAUUAUCUAUUUUCGUUAAAAGAGAGGAACCUGUCUGUUUUCUGGAGAUAUCUCUUAGAAAAAAUAUUUUAUUAAGUAAUAAUCCUUAUUUGAGACUCAUCUUAUGGCAUUGAAGAAUAUUAAAACGUAUCAAAGGUAAAGUUAAUCAUGGAUAACCAGGGAUAAGAGGAAUUGUCAGGAAGAAAAUGAAGAAGAGAUGUAUUGUUUUUGUUUUCUUGUAUAUAUAAUUAUCUAUUUUCGUUAAAAGAGAGAAACCUGUCUGUUUUCUGGAGAUAUUUCUUAGAAAAAAUAUCUUAAAUAAUAAUCCUUAUUUAAGACUCAUCUUAUGGCAUUGAAGAAUAUUAAAACGUAUCAAGGGUAAAGUUAAUUAUGGAUAACUAAGGAUAAGGAAUGAGAGAAGUUGUAAGGAAGAUAAUGAAGAAGAGAUGUGUUGUUUAUGUUUUCUAAAUAUAUAAUUAUCUAUUUUUGUUAAAAGAGAGAAACCUAUCUGUUUUUUUGUAGAUAUUUCUUAGAAAAAAGGAUAAAAAAGGAAGAGGAAGAAAUAUAUAUAUACAUGUGUGUGUAUAAAAGAUGGAAUAAACCAUAUUUUGCAUACUGCAAGAUGCUGGAAGAUAGAAGGAUAAAAAUUAAAAAAAUUGGGGGAGAAACAGGGCGCGUUACCGCUAAUGAAAUACAAAAUCCAAAAGCCUGGCAGGGAAGAGAAGAACAGGAUUCAAUCUGUAUUAGCAACCCUCCACCCUUAUUUCCCUCGAGGUUCGUUACAAAGCAGAAGCUUGAUGAUGCCGGUAUAUCCUUCCAAUAAACGGAGCUAUUCUCCUUGGAGGGCGGGAUCUUUCCCCUUUUCUGCCAAAGGUUCUUCUGGAAACCAACAGCCACCAACGCUUGCUUAUCGAUAAAUUCAUCGUGCAUCCGCCAGAGGAAUAUUUCUAACGCGAAUAUUUCCAACAGUUAAUUAUAUCUUUUUACAGAUAUUGCGGUGUUUAAUAUCCGAGGGAAACCGAUAAAAUAUUCAAUUAUUAUUCCCCUCUCGCCUCGCUAAUCAAUCAUUUAUGUCGAUUGCUUAAUUUUUUUAUUUGUUAUUUAAUCCCAGAAAGGUCAAUAUUUGAAGACGGUGUGAAUGAAGCUCAUAUGCAAAAAAUUAAAAAAAAAAAAAAAAAAAAUAGAAAGAAAUGUAUUCCUGAGAAUUAUC
Molecule: long non-coding RNA, 7335 nt
Organism: Apis mellifera (honey bee)
Lineage: Eukaryota; Metazoa; Arthropoda; Insecta; Hymenoptera; Apidae
Exons: 3
Source: RefSeq, a predicted model, not a curated record